This 253-nucleotide ribosomal RNA is filed under the name uncultured bacterium. Its description in RNAcentral is "partial 16S ribosomal RNA". It matches the Rfam family "Bacterial small subunit ribosomal RNA", at positions 524 to 776 of the family's 1533-position model. The record is from RNAcentral.
UACAGAGGGUGCGAGCGUUAAUCGGAAUUACUGGGCGUAAAGCGCACGUAGGCGGCUUGGUAUGUCGGGUGUGAAAUCCCCGGGCUCAACCUGGGAACUGCAUCCGAAACUGCCUUGCUCGAGUAUGGGAGAGGGAAGUGGAAUUUCCGGUGUAGCGGUGAAAUGCGUAGAUAUUAGGAGGAACACCGGUGGCGAAGGCGGCUACCUGGACCGAUAUUGACGCUGAGACGCGAAAGCGUGGGGAGCAAACAGG